AAAACAAUACUUUCAGUGCUCAUGUUUGUAGUUUCUUGCUACAGAAGGUUCUCUAAGCCUGAAGAGCACCCCAAGGAAAAUGUAUAGUAUCCUCUCCUGAGUGUGAAGCCAGCUCUUGGUAUCGCUUCACUACACCGGUCAUUGCCAUUUAUAAUCAUUCUUCUCUUCUUUUGGGUGAGAAAGAGGGAAGAGUAUGCAAUCUGAGAGGU
Nycticebus coucang (slow loris) is the source of this 209-nucleotide small nucleolar RNA. RefSeq annotates it as small nucleolar RNA U3. The transcript has a single exon. Lineage: Eukaryota; Metazoa; Chordata; Mammalia; Primates; Lorisidae. The record is from RefSeq and is a predicted model, not a curated record.